CCUACGGGAGGCUGCAGUGGGGAAUAUUGGGCAAUGGAGGAAACUCUGACCCAGCAACGCCGCGUGAAUGAUGAAGGUCUUCGGAUUGUAAAGUUCUUUUCUAAGGGAAGAAGAAAGUGACGGUACCUUAGGAAUACGCCUCGGCUAACUACGUGCCAGCAGCCGCGGUAAUACGUAGGCGGCGAGCGUUAUACGUAAUGACUGGGCGUAAAGGGUGCGUAGGUGGUUUGGCAAGGUAGUAGCGUAACUGCAAGGCUCAACCUUGGAACUGCUACUGAAACUGUUGGACUUGAGUGCAGGAGAGGUAACCGGAAUGCCUAGUGUAGCGGUGGAAUGCGUAGAUAUUAGGAGGAACACCAGUGGCGAAGGCGGGUUACUAGACCGUAACUGACACUGAGGCACGAAAGCGUGGGGAGCAAACAGGAUUAGAUACCCUAGUAGUC
This 443-nucleotide ribosomal RNA is filed under the name uncultured bacterium. RNAcentral describes it as "partial 16S ribosomal RNA". It matches the Rfam family "Bacterial small subunit ribosomal RNA", at positions 338 to 795 of the family's 1533-position model. The record is from RNAcentral.